RNA transcript from Vigna angularis (adzuki bean), 1109 nucleotides. It is a transcript of the gene named threonine--tRNA ligase, mitochondrial 1, with no coding region annotated. The record is from RefSeq and is a predicted model, not a curated record. Lineage: Eukaryota; Viridiplantae; Streptophyta; Magnoliopsida; Fabales; Fabaceae. The transcript is spliced from 5 exons.
GCCCAAUUUUUCUGAAUGUCAUUAAGGGCAAAGUUGUCAUUUACGGUGCGUGAAAAGUUUAUUGAAAGUUUUCGUUCCUUUCAUAGUCGACCCUUUCAUCUUGGAAGAGGAAGUCUAGGGUUAGGGUUGAGAGAGAGCGAGAAAGAAAAGAAAAAAGGAGAACUCCAUGGCUGCCACAGGCUGGACGUGAUCGGUGAUCAGAAGAGUUGGAAUCGGCAAAGUGCGAAGCAUCAGUUGUUGAAUGAAGGGGAUGGGGCAUUCUAUGGACCAAAGAUAGACAUCAGUGUAUCUGAUGCAUUAAUUAAGAAAUUUCAGUGUGCAACUUUGCAGCUUAACUUCCAGCUUCCUGAUCGUUUGAAGUUGGAAUUCUCUGCUGAGGAUGAAGCCAAAAUUGAGAGACCUGUAAUGAUACAUAGAGCAAUUCUAGGAUCUGUUGAACACAUGUUUGCCAUACUUUUAGAGCACUACAAGGGUAAAUGGCCUUUCUGGCUCAAUCCUCUUCAAGUAAUUGUAUGUCUUGUGUUUGGAAAAUCACUAUCUUAUGCACUACAGUACGAGAAGCACAAUUAGCUCAGUACAAGUACAUGUUGGUUGUCGGAGAGGAGGAAGCAAAUACUGGACAGGUUGUAUGGCCAUCUGAAGUUGUCGUGAUAGAUUUACUCUGCUUUCAUAAAGUAGGAACAACUAAAAUAAGUUAUAGAAAUUUAUUGGUUGCUCUAAGUGUACUAAUUUUCGUGUUUCCAUCAUGCUUGAUGAUAUGAAGUGCUUUAUUGGAAGUUAAUUGUUCUCCACAAGCACAUAACCAUUGGGAAUGGUCACAUAUCAACCAAGUAACAAUAUAGAAAUAUUUAUCCUUUAGCUACAAUUAUAACUAAGGUGGUUGUAUCUUGAUUGAUACCGCAUGCAUUUUUAAUCUUUUAGGCACACCAAUAAGGAGGAAAUUUAAAGAGAUGUACAUUUAUUGGAAAGAUGGAUAGGAUACUUAGUAGGAUAAACAAUUACAUUCAAGCACAGAUUUUUAAAGAGGCUAAUGCAGUUUUAACAAAGAAUUAUUGUGGUGUUAUAUAUUUUUUGAACUUUUUUUAUCACUUUGAAUAUACUCCCCGUAU